RNAcentral lists this non-coding RNA (22 nucleotides) under Arabidopsis thaliana (thale cress). Lineage: Eukaryota; Viridiplantae; Streptophyta; Magnoliopsida; Brassicales; Brassicaceae. The record is from RNAcentral.
AGGUAGUUCCUCCCUUCUUCCA